Molecule: long non-coding RNA, 1335 nt
Organism: Oncorhynchus gorbuscha (pink salmon)
Lineage: Eukaryota; Metazoa; Chordata; Actinopteri; Salmoniformes; Salmonidae
Exons: 2
Source: RefSeq, a predicted model, not a curated record
UCUGGGACCAGGCUGACUGGCAAGAGAAAACAGGUCUGUGACCAGGCUGACUGGCAAGAGAAAACAGGUCUGGGACCAGGCUGACUGGCAAGAGAAAACAGGUCUGGGACCAGGCUAACUGGAAAGAACAAACAGGUCUGUGACCAGGCUAACUGGAAAGAACAAACAGGUCUGGGACCAGGCUAACUGGAAAGAACAAACAGGUCUGUGACCAGGCUAACUGGCAACAAACAGGUCUGGGACCAGGCUAACUGGCAACAAACAGGUCUGGGACCAGGCUAACUGGCAACAAACAGGUCUGGGACCAGGCUGAUUUUUUUUCUCGCUCCAGUCUAAGUCUGAGAGCAUCUUCCUUUGUAUUCCCUCCUUUCUUUUCAUUUAUUUCUAAGAAGAUUCUAUUAUCAAGUGAGACAUUUUUUUUUUUUAAAUUUAAUUGGUUGUAGUUGUUCUUCAAUGUCCCGCCCACUGCAGUCUCAUUUUGAUUUGAUUGGUUGUAGUUGUUCUUCAAUGUCCCGCCCACUGCAGUCUCAUUUUGAUUUGAUUGGUUGUAGUUGUUGUUCAAUGUCCCGCCCACUGCAGUCUCAUUUUGAUUUGAUUGGUUGUAGUUGUUCUUCAAUGUCCCGCCCACUGCAGUCUCAUUUUGAUUUGAUUGGUUGUAUUACGACAGAGAUGUGGUUAUCCCACCUAUCUUAUCGUAACAUGAAUGCACUAACUUGUAAAUCGCUCUGGAUAAGAAUAUCAUGAUGACGUUGACAAAUGAAAUGCUAUUUCUGGGACUUCUUUCUCUUCUGCGAUAUUAAACAUGCAACUUGUCUGAGUGAAUGCAAUGUGUAUACAAUACUAAGUUAUACCAGAUCAAGAAAAAAACAUUAUUUUAGAAACUUAAAAAAUAAAAAAAUUAAAAAAAAUUGUGCGAAAUAUGACGAUAAAAUUAUAAUGACACAUGUAUUUGUAUUUAUUAAAUUUUUGUUCUCUUUUUAAUAAAUUGAUGUCGUUUUUUAAUUUUUUUAUUUAACUAGGCAAGUCAGUUAAGAAUAAAUUGUUAUUUACAAUGACGGCCUACACCGGCCAAAACCGUAACCCGGACGACGCUGGACCAAUUGUGCACCGCCCUAUGGGACUCCCAAUCACGGCCGUUUAGUUAAGGAUAAAUGGGAUGUUAUAAACUAGGUGUGGCCAUUUUGAAUGAAUGGUUGAGAUCUCCUGUACGUUUAGUGGAAGCACGUAGAAGUUAGUAGUUUUAUGUUUUAGCAUGGUCAUCUACUGUGUCUGAAAGAGAGAAUGAAGGUCAUUUAUCAGAUGUGCUGUUGUAAAAAAAUAAAUGUUUGAUGCUUA